This 347-nucleotide ribosomal RNA is filed under the name uncultured bacterium. RNAcentral describes it as "partial 16S ribosomal RNA". It matches the Rfam family "Bacterial small subunit ribosomal RNA", at positions 338 to 682 of the family's 1533-position model. The record is from RNAcentral.
CCUACGGGAGGCUGCAGUGAGGAAUAUUGGUCAAUGGCCGGAAGGCUGAACCAGCCAUGCCGCGUGAAGGUCAGUGCCCUAUGGGCGUUAAACUUCUUUUGUGCGGGAGCAAGAAUGGGCACGGGGGGCCAGACGAGAGUACCGUACGAAAAAGCAGCGGCGAACGCCGGGCCAGCAGCCGCGGGAAUACGGGGGAUGCAAGCGUUAUCCGGAUUUCGUGGGUUUCAAGGGGGCGGAGGCUGGGAGGUAAGUCAGCGGUGAACUGCCCCCGCUCAACGGGGUGAAGUGCCAUUGAUACUGCCUUGCUGGACUGCGGAUGCCGUGGGAGGACUGUGUGUUGUAGCGGU